Molecule: small nucleolar RNA, 100 nt
Organism: Lemur catta (Ring-tailed lemur)
Lineage: Eukaryota; Metazoa; Chordata; Mammalia; Primates; Lemuridae
Product: small nucleolar RNA U13
Exons: 1
Source: RefSeq, a predicted model, not a curated record
AUCCUUUGUAGUAAAUAAGCAUUGGGUUUUCAAGCACAUGUGUGAGAUUCACCUCCCUCAAACCUUGUUAUGACAACGUUGGCACAUUAUCCGUCUGACA